RNAcentral lists this ribosomal RNA (374 nucleotides) under uncultured bacterium. RNAcentral describes it as "bacterial SSU rRNA". It matches the Rfam family "Bacterial small subunit ribosomal RNA", at positions 524 to 898 of the family's 1533-position model. The record is from RNAcentral.
UACGUAGGGUGCAAGCGUUAAUCGGAAUUACUGGGCGUAAAGCGUGCGCAGGCGGUUUUGUAAGACAGGUGUGAAAUCCCCGAGCUCAACUUGGGAACUGCACUUGUGACUGCAAGACUAGAGUGUGUCAGAGGGAGGUAGAAUUCCACGUGUAGCAGUGAAAUGCGUAGAGAUGUGGAGGAAUACCGGUGGCGAAGGCGGCCUCCUGGGAUAACACUGACGCUCAUGUACGAAAGCGUGGGGAGCAAACAGGAUUAGAUACCCUGGUAGUCCACGCCCUAAACGAUGUCAACUGGUUGUUGGGUCUUCAUUGACUUAGUAACGAAGCUAACGCGUGAAGUUGACCGCCUGGGGAGUACGGUCGCAAGAUUAAA